RNAcentral lists this ribosomal RNA (382 nucleotides) under uncultured eukaryote. RNAcentral describes it as "partial 18S ribosomal RNA". It matches the Rfam family "Eukaryotic small subunit ribosomal RNA", at positions 592 to 976 of the family's 1831-position model. The record is from RNAcentral.
CAAUAGCGUAUAUUAAAGUUGUUGCAGUUAAAAAGCUCGUAGUUGGAUUUCUGGUUGAAGCGACCGGUCGGGCGUUGAUUCGUCUGCACUGGAGUCGGUUUUGGCCAUCCUCUAGGAAAGUGCGUCUGGUAUUAAGUUAUCGGGCGUAUGAUCCUGGUCUUUUACUGUGAAAAAAUUAGAGUGUUUAAAGCAGGCCUUCGCCUUGAAUACAUUAGCAUGGAAUAAUAAGAUAGGACUUUGGUCUAUUUUGUUGGUUUGCCGACCGAAGUAAUGAUUAAUAGGGAUAGUUGGGGGUAUUUAUAUUCCGAUGUCAGAGGUGAAAUUCUUAGAUUUUCGGAAGAUAAACUUAUGCGAAAGCAUUUACCAAGGAUGUUUUCAUUAA